AGCGAACGCUGGCGGCAGGCUUAACACAUGCAAGUCGAGCGGGCACUUCGGUGUCAGCGGCAGACGGGUGAGUAACACGUGGGAACGUACCCUUUGGUUCGGAAUAACGCUGGGAAACUAGCGCUAAUACCGGAUACGCCCUUUUGGGGAAAGGCUUGCUGCCGAAGGAUCGGCCCGCGUCUGAUUAGCUAGUUGGUGGGGUAAUGGCCUACCAAGGCGACGAUCAGUAGCUGGUCUGAGAGGAGGAUCAGCCACACUGGGACUGAGACACGGCCCAGACUCCUACGGGAGGCAGCAGUGGGGAAUAUUGGACACUGGGCGCAGGCCUGAUCCAGCCAUGCCGCGUGAGUGAUGAAGGCCUUAGGGUUGUAAAGCUCUUUUGUCCGGGACGAUAAUGACGGUACCGGAAGAAUAAGCCCCGGCUAACUUCGUG
RNAcentral lists this ribosomal RNA (433 nucleotides) under uncultured bacterium. Its description in RNAcentral is "partial 16S ribosomal RNA". It matches the Rfam family "Bacterial small subunit ribosomal RNA", at positions 29 to 507 of the family's 1533-position model. The record is from RNAcentral.